GACGAACGCUGGCGGCGUGCCUAACACAUGCAAGUGGAGCGACGAACCGGGCUUCGGCCCGGGGCCAAGCCGCGAACGGGUGAGUAACACGUGGGUAACCUGCCCUGAUGAUUGGGACAACCCGAGGAAACUCGGGCUAAUACCGAAUGUGCCCUCCGACCAUAAGGUCUGGCGGGGAAAGGAAGCUUCGGCCUCCGCAUCGGGAUGGGGCCCGCGGCGCAUUAGCUUGUUGGUGAGGUAACGCUCACCAAGGCGACGAUGCGUAGCUGGUCUGAGAGGACGAUCAGCCACACUGGGACUGAGACACGGCCCAGACUCCUACGGGAGGCAGCAGUGGGGAAUCUUGCGCAAUGCGCGAAAGCGUGACGCAGCAACGCCGCGGUGGGGGAAGACGGCCU
This 398-nucleotide ribosomal RNA is filed under the name uncultured bacterium. RNAcentral's name for it is "bacterial SSU rRNA". It matches the Rfam family "Bacterial small subunit ribosomal RNA", at positions 28 to 417 of the family's 1533-position model. The record is from RNAcentral.